GAGGAGGGUAUGAAGUCUUUACCCAGCAGGCCUGCCACACUGCAGAAGCUAGAAAUAUCUGUUGAAUGAACUUGUGAAUGAAGCUUCCCUCAAUCAGGUGAAUAAUUUCACUGGAUGAACACUGAUCUUCAGGGCUACUGCUUAUUAUCUGAGUACUCCAAUUUUAAAACUGAGCUCAGUAGUCUACAUUUUCAAUGGACAAAUGCACUGGAACCAGGUGUGCCUAAAACAAACAAAAACUCCUUCUAAAUGCAUUUCUUGGAUUUAGGCCACCGUCACAAAAAUCACUACUCUUCUGUGUGACUCCCCUGGCUGCUGUUAAAGCUUUGUUUUCAAAUAUAAAAGCAGAUUUGA
Molecule: long non-coding RNA, 354 nt
Organism: Erinaceus europaeus (western European hedgehog)
Lineage: Eukaryota; Metazoa; Chordata; Mammalia; Eulipotyphla; Erinaceidae
Exons: 2
Source: RefSeq, a predicted model, not a curated record